ACUCCAGCCUUGAACCCACUGGCGGCCAGGGUGCAGGGAACCGGGUCUAGGCGCUUCAAUUCAAACAAAUCAGAAAGAACCACUCCUCACUGCCCUAUAGAUGGAAGGGUCAGACCCCCAGCCAGCAGGCACAUCUAGCCUCUCCUCCUGGGAGCCUCAAAACUUACCCAUGUGCCAAGUACUUAGGACCUAGCUGUGGGGACACCUGCUCACUGACCAGCACUCAGAGGUGGUUUGAGGGAGACCCAAAGUGAACCCCUUGAUUCUACCCACCCCACCUAUCUCCCCUACUUGUCAAAACCAACACCAGUCAACCUGGCAGAUAAAAAGAAUCAACUUGAGAUACGAGCCAGCAUUAGAACAAAACACAACAUAGGAUUCGGAGCCCUGGCCCCUUGUAUUUCCUAGUUACUUGACACCAGCCACAUCUCUGAACUUCUCUGUGCCUCAGUUUAUUCGUCUCUAAGAUGGGCAGAUGGCCUGUGCUCUGCGGGGUUGAAGGUCAAAUGAUACCCAUGCACUUGGAUAUGUUUAUAUGUUGCAAAACUUUUCAAACAUUCAUCACUUUUCCCCCCAUGAUUUUGCUCCAUCUUUAACCAUCUGGACCAUCAUUUACUUUUUUUCUAUAAAGAGAAUUUAAAUUGAUUUACUUGAAAAAAAUGAGAGCCUUUUAGUCGACAACAAUACCUGAGAAAUCAUGGAUUUGAUGCUCUUGUUAAUUUUUUUCUGAUUACAUGUUGGAACAAAUUUAUAGCUGGUUCAUACACUAUCUGCCUUUGACCCAAAUUAUUUUGUUCCAGAUUUUAGGAAAGAUUGCAUUACUAAAUCCCCCUUUAUGGAGGAGUUUUCUUUGGGGCGGGAGUAACCUGAGCUAAAAUGAUUCAGCAGGACCCCUGAUUUCCCUCACUUGCCUGCCUCCCCCUCCUCAGUAUGCUUCUUUCCCAGCUUACUUUUAAUUCUUCAUAAGUGGAGAACAUGACCUCAUGUCUGGUUUAGGAUCCUAGAGGCGGUAAGCUUUGCUGUGUGGCAGGCGCUGAUGGUGUUUGCUUGAAGGGACUGAUUGAGAAAAGAAAACCAUAAGGAUGGCCCAGGAAACAUUCGGGGGGCAGGGCAGUGGCGAGAAGUUUUGUCAGUGAUGUCAGCAGGAGGGGUUGGGGGAGGAGAGACAAUAAGACACAGUUGACCCGGCAAGAGCCUGUCCUGGGAGCGGGAGCCCUCAGAGCUUGGCCUGGGACCCCAUCCAGCUAGCCUGACCACAGCUGACCGCGGCAGAAUCCGAUUUCUCCCAGAAUGUGUCUCCACCUGCCCUGUGCCAGGGACCCCAUGUCUGGCUCGCUCAUGGGGGUGGGGGCAGUGGCAUGGACCAUCCCAGGCACAAAACACAGCCUGAAAACUCAGCCCCAGCUCCACCAGGAGCUCAGGGUCUGCAGGAGUCGGAGCUGGCAACUUUCCGGGGAGACGGGCCCAGGCAAAGUGACCACUCUCUUCCAGUCCAGGAGCUGUGAGCUGCGUGGAAAGAAUGUGAAUGAAGACACAAUUCUAAAUGUAGAAUCGCGGACGCUAUGUGAGCUGGCUCCCUCAUCGUCCAGAAAAACAAGACCCGCUUGUACGUUCUGCAAGAGCAUAAAUAAAGCUGUCCUCAGGUGGCGUGCUACGGUGUCCCCUCCUUGCGGUGACUUCACUGGCCCCGACUCUCCACAGAACCUCUGGAAAGUUGUGGGAGCAGCCCAGCUGCCUGACAGCGUGGGUGAAAAUGGUCUUGCUCUUGUCUGGACAAGCGCGAUGCUCGCUAACUUAAUUUUGCAGCAGAUCUGCUCUGUUUUGCAUCCAUAUUAAUUAGAAACAUUCCAAAGCUGAUAAGGAGGGCAAGGUGAAUAGAUCAUUCAGGCCAGUUUCCAGUUCUGUUUGAAGUUCACUUCCCUGCAAAUAACAUGAGGCAACUCCCUUGAUUCUUUCACUCUUGCAACAUUGUUAUAUUGAAAUGCUUGUCAGAGGUCCCUUCACUAGUGCUUGACCUUUAGAAGUCGUUUCCAUAAGGGUCUUCAGGAGAUUGGUGCAUUUCCCAGGCUUAAUAAUACUAAUAACAAUAAAAUAGUAAUGCUGGUGGACACAUAUGAAACCUUUAUUCCAUGCCCCGCCCUGUUCUGUGUCCUUAUGCAAAUUAACCAACACACUGUACACUCUAUGUCAGGGCCCAGCACCUGUUUUGUUCUAUCCCUAAGAACUGCUACUUGUCAGGGAGCUAGAGUAAGAUGAGAUGGGGAACGGAUUUUUCCUGAGCACCCAUGAUGGGCCAGGCAGUGUCUACCUUCUUUGACUGAAUCAUCUCUAUGUGUGAUGACCGUUCAUGAGCCCACUUUCCAGAUGAGGAAACUGAGGCUUGCAGAGGCCCUGGAUGUCAUGCAGUUAGUGGUGGCAGAUGCAGAUAUGGGCUGGUCCUCCAGCCUGUCUGGCCUGUACGUUUCUGUUGCACCCUCCCUAGCGAACCGCUCUCCCAGCCCAAGUCCCCGGAACACGGCCUCCUUCCAUCCACCUGUUCUCCCUGCCUCUCUCUGGGGAGAGAGUGGAGUCUGGCCAGGAUACCUCCUUAGCUACUGAUUUGUUAUGGAAACCGAGGGGUUUCUGCACCUGAGCGUGAGCACAGUGGACGUGUGUCCUCGGGGGUGACGGAAGAUGGCACUUCUCCACCUGCUGAGGGCCUGAUUAAUCAGACCCCCUCUUCAGAUGAUUUCCUUACCAGAAACUCUGAGUUGGUGCCUUUGUGAAGAGAUGUUACAUGGUUAUGCACAUCCAGCACCAAGCUCAGAGGGCCUGGAUUUAUUUAGGGGGCCCUGUUUGCAGCUCAUGGCUGGGAAACAGCCCACUGGCCCAGGUCACUGAGGCCCCUUCCCUAGGGCUGCUCCUUGCCCAGUCUGAUCAAGCUAGUGCCAGAUUGGUGGCUGUCAAAGUCAGUUGAGGGCUAGCAGGGCCGAGGACUCUUCUUAAGGCUUUCCCUCAGGGCUCUUGGUUUAGGGCUUUAUAAUGAAAGAUUUAAAUGAAAGAAACAGAAACUGUGCUGUGAAGUAAAGAAAAUUCUCUUAAUUCAAAUUCUACCAAACACCAACAAAGUCAUAGCGACCAGCUGGUAGCUUGGCCACCAGUGCCUCUGAAGUCUUCAUAAGUCCUCUCUCUACAUGGAAGGAUCUGGAAAUCCAGAGUCUGGAGGAGCUGGGGAGGCUGUGCUCUCUCGGCUGCAGGACCGGCUGACAAACUUUUGCUGUAAAAUUCUAGAGAGUAAGCGUUUUCAGCUUUGUGGGUCAGGUCCUCUUUGUCAUUGUCAUGAUUGCUCCACUUGGUCAUGGAAAGCUGUCAGUGACGCUCUGUAGAUGAAGAGACAGGGCUGCGUUUCCUAUCAAAUCCAUCAAAUAUUAUUUACUUGUUUACAUAUAUUUGAUUUUUUUUUUUUUGUCUUUUUAGGGCUGCGCCCACAGCAUAGGGAGGUUCUCAGGCUAGGAGUUAAAUAAGAGCUGCAGAUGCUGGCCUAUGCCACAGUCACAGCAACACAGGAUCUGAGCCGCAUCUGUGACCUGCACCACAGCUCACGGCAACGCCGGAUCCUUAACCCACUGAGCGAGGCCAGGGGUCGAACCUGCAUCCUCAUGGAUACUAGUCCAUUUCGUUAACCACUGAACCACAAUGGGAACUCCAAGGACACAGAUAUUUGAAUUUCACAUCAUUUUCACAUAUCACAAAAUACCCUAGUUUUGCCCCCUUGGACUAUUUAAAUAUGCGAAAACCAUGUUUAGUUUACGCAGUUAUACAAAAACAGGGAAGGGAUGGGUUUGGUUCACAGGCCAUAGUACGCCCACCUAGAGCCCCUCCAUUCACUUCAGCCACCUCCAAGCCCAUGUGGCUAAUGAGUGCUUGAACCUAGCUGGUCUGAAUUGAGACCAGCUGUAAAUGUAAAAUACCCACUGGGUUUCCUUAGUACAAAAGGAAAAGAACACAAAAUAUCUGCUUAGUGAUAUUCUGUGUUGAAUAUUGUAUUGAAUCUGUGUUGAAAUGAUAACACUUUGACUAUUUUUGGCUUGUAUAAAAAAUGUACUAUUAAGAUUGCUACGUUUUUCUUCUUGUUACUUUUUUCAUGGUACUGGCAAAUUUAAAAUGACACACGUACUUCUCUUGGACAGCGCUGGGCUGGCUCUUUUCGUCACAAACCCUCUCCGUCAUUGCUCAGUGUCCAUGAGGCCACUCUGUUCCUGGGAUCGCGGCUGAUGUGCUCAUGGUGGAAAUGCCUCAGCUUCUCCAUCGUCAUCCGCCCUGAGUUCAGAUGGGAGUUUUGUCUUCUUAGAACCCUAGGAUUGUUAUGCCUAUUUGCUGCUAGCAUUAUCCGUAAAAAAUUGGAUUAAGAAGUUAAAAUAUCCACUAAGGAAAAAAGCUCCUUUUAGCUACCUUUUUUUUUUCAAGCACCUACGUGAAACGCUGGGUUGGCUGUCUUGUAUGCGGUGUGUAUUUUGAUCCUCACAACCACCCUGGGAGGAAGCCAUGCCGAUCUCUAUUUCCAGAUUCAGAAAAAGGUCAAAGAGGUGAAAACUCUUGCCCCAAAUUAUGUAAUUGGCUGCAGAGCUUGUCUGAAAGUCAGCUUUUUUUUUUUUUUUUUCUUUCCCCGGUGCGUAAUCAUUAAAAAGCCGUGGAAGCAGGGCCUUCUGAAAGGAUUGCCUCUCCCUACAGCACAGAGAGGCGCUGGAGGGAUCACACAGAGCAGCCCGGCUGUGCGGGAAGAGGAACUCAAGGCAGGCCUGGAGUGCAAAGCCCAUGUGAGCUCUCUUGCUAUUCUGCACCCCUAGCAUUGCCUGCUCCCAUCCCCCUGCAGCACCAGGAAAAUAAGGCUUUGAUUUGUCUUACAUCCACUUCUGGCACAGUGGUAGUAUGAUCGUUUUGACCACAGAGAAGGAGCAAGGUAAGAAUCGCUACUUAGACACUGGCUCCAGCCACACUUGUCUCCUUUCUCCUUUUCGUGCACGUACCUCUGUCCUGCCCCAGGGCCUUUGCAGCUGCUGGCCCUCUGCCUCUAUAUUUACAUGGCUGCUUCCUUCUCCCCACUCAAAAGUCAGCUCAAGGGUCACUUCCUCAGAGAGAGCAUUCCUGAUUGUUCCAUCUCAAGACUCUUGGCCUCUAUCAUGCCACCUUAUUUCUAUCUUUCGUGGCACUGAUCACUAAGAGGCAUCCUCUCACUUCUUUGGUCCUGGGUUUAUGCUCUGUCUGCAUCCUCCCCAGAAUGCAAGCUCCAAGAAGGCGUUCACUUUGCCUUGCUCCCCUCCUCACGACUAUGUGCUAAUGAGCGAAGGUGGCAGCUCUGGAGGUGAGGGGGCUUUUGACUGACUCACACCUUUCCCCACCAUUCUGGACUCAGGGUGCUGGGCUUUUCUCCCAGCAAUGGUUCUCCAAUACCCUGGAGGUCAGGUGGCAACACAGAUUUCUGGGGCCCUCCCUCACAAUGCGCAUUUCUAACAAGUUUCUGGGUGAUGCUUACACUGUUGGUCCAGGACUGCGCUUGGAGAGGAAAGCACUCCGGGUGUGGAUGAGCAGGGCUGGCUUCUCCCUUUCCCUAUUGUUACAGGUGAUUCCCUGGGAGCUGCUGCUCAAGAGCUGCUUUCUAUUCACAUGGAUUCAAUAAAUGUCUACUGAGUACUCUCUGUGUAUCAGGCACUCCUGGGUGGCAUCUCCCUCAUCCUCUCCCUUCAUCCUCACUGCAUCUCCGAGCCAGCUUUAUAGGUAAGACAAUGGAGGCAGGUGAAGUUAAAUACAUGGCCAAGGUCACAGAACCAGGAGAAGGUGAGGCUGGUGCUUGGGUUCAGGGAUUCACUCAGCCCAGGGAAGUCACCCAUCAUCCUGCCCUGCUGCCUCUCCAAGGUCUUGCCUCCUUGAAGGCUUUGGUGUGGCUCACAGGUGCCAGGUAGAUCCACUUCUACUUCUUAUCUGUGGGAUGCUUGGCAGAGCCACACAGAACUUCUGGAGGCACAGCCAGGAGAGUCUGAUUAGCGGAGCAGCCAAGAUAGUAGAUUUUGGCUUCAGGGAGGUAAGCGUUCUGUUCCUGGGUCAGCAGUUGUGUGACUUUAUGCAUGUGAUUUGAUUCCUUCAAACUUUCAUUUGCUACUCACUUCACAUGACUUGUAAAUAUUAAAGGCGUUGAGACAAGUGUUUAGUCCACGGAGCUGCACAUGGAGGGGUUCAGCAGGUCACUGAAGCUGUUCUAAUUUAAUUGCCUGGGAUCUAUCCUACUCCUGGGUUGGGUAGGAGGGCUAGUGCAGGUCUGCAAUGAUUGAAAAACCUUGGAGCUUAGAGCUAAUGAGGUGGUGAGAGGUGGAGCAGGAAACUGGGUUCCUUCCCUCUGGUGGGGUACCACGUGGCUGUAGAAAGGGACAAAGGACAUCUCUCCAGCCUUGUAAGGGGCAAUUCCCAGGGCAAAGGUGAGGAACACAGUAUCUCAUGUUAUGUUACCAUUGUAUUAGGCAGGAGAGGACAGAAAUUUGUGGGCGCUGAGAUUUUUUUUCUUCUUUUUUUGUGGCCGCACCCAUGGCCUAUGAAAGUUCCCCGGCUAGGAUUGAAUUGGAGCUGCAGCUGCUGGCCUACACCACAGCCACAGCAACAUCAGACUUGUGCUGCAUCUGUGAUCUACACACAGGUCACGGCAUUACCGGAUUCUUAACCCACUAAGUGAAGCCAGGGAUUGAACCUGAUCCUCAUAGACACUACAUUGGGUUCUUAACCUGGUGAGCCACAGUGGGAACUCCUAUGUAUUUGCUUAUAUUAAAAACAAAACCUUAAAUAAAUAAAGCCCAAACUGAAAUGGGGACCUCUGGGGACGGAGGGCACAGGUGUAGGAAUGGGACUAGGAGCUAGACCUCCCUGAGCCUGCCUUGUUUGUUAGAUUUGAGGUGGAGCCAUGCAAAGACCUUAUAGAACUAGCAAACUAAAUCAAAUCAAAACUUAAAAAAAGGCAGUCUCAGAGUUCCCAUAGUGUGCAGUGGAAACAGAUCUGACUAGGAACCAUGAGGUUUCAGGUUCGAUCUCUGGCCUCGCUCAGUAGGUUAAGGAUCCCUUGUUGCCCGGAGCUAUGGUGUAGGUUGCAGACAUGGCUUGGAUCUGAUGUUGCUGUGGCUGUGAUGUAGGCUGGCAGCUGUAGCUUCCAUUUGACCCCUAGUCUGGGAACUUCCAUAU
RNAcentral lists this long non-coding RNA (7200 nucleotides) under Sus scrofa (pig). RNAcentral describes it as "lncRNA (ENSSSCG00000062957.1)". The record is from RNAcentral. Lineage: Eukaryota; Metazoa; Chordata; Mammalia; Artiodactyla; Suidae.